Long non-coding RNA from Megalobrama amblycephala (Wuchang bream), 109 nucleotides. RefSeq lists it as uncharacterized. Lineage: Eukaryota; Metazoa; Chordata; Actinopteri; Cypriniformes; Xenocyprididae. The record is from RefSeq and is a predicted model, not a curated record. The transcript is spliced from 3 exons.
CGCUCUAGAUUACAGCCUGGAAAGAACUGCGUAAUUACAAAGAAUUUACAGCGUAACUUUCAAUAAUUAUAGUGUAACUAUACAGUAAGUAUGGCUGCACGAUUCAUUG